UACGUAGGGAGCAAGCGUUGUCCGGAAUCAUUGGGCGUAAAGCGCGCGUAGGUGGCCCCAUAAGUCCGCUGUGAAAGUCAAAGGCUCAACCUUUGAAAGCCGGUGGAUACUGUGGGGCUAGAGUACGGAAGAGGCGAGUGGAAUUCCUGGUGUAGCGGUGGAAUGCGCAGAUAUCAGGAGGAACACCAAUAGCGAAGGCAGCUCGCUGGGACGUUACUGACACUGAGGCGCGAAAGCGUGGGGAGCGAACAGG
Molecule: ribosomal RNA, 253 nt
Filed under: uncultured bacterium
Lineage: Bacteria
Description: partial 16S ribosomal RNA
Rfam family: Bacterial small subunit ribosomal RNA
Source: RNAcentral